RNAcentral lists this ribosomal RNA (303 nucleotides) under Triticum aestivum (bread wheat). RNAcentral's name for it is "partial small subunit ribosomal RNA". The record is from RNAcentral. Lineage: Eukaryota; Viridiplantae; Streptophyta; Magnoliopsida; Poales; Poaceae.
AUGGGGUUGCAGCGCCCACAUACGACACCGAGACCGACGCCGCUGCUACCCAGUACGACUACAGUGUUGACAAUCCCUCCUUCUCGGCUGAGUUUCCAGAUGCCGGAGCCCAGGAGCCAGACGCCACCGUCGACGACGACUCCUACUACACCGCAGGUGCCUACUACUACGUGUAGCCCGCUGACGACGACCAGGAGUAGUUUAGGAGGAUCCCAGGCAGGAGGCCUGCGCCUCUUUCGAUCUGUAUCCCAGUUUGUGCUAGCCUUCUUAAGGCAAACUUGUUUAACUUAUGUCUGUACUUAG